AUUGAACGCUGGCGGCAGGCCUAACACAUGCAAAUCGAACGGCAGCACAGAAGAGCUUGCUCUUUGGGUGGCGAGUGGCGGACGGGUGAGUAAUGUCUGGGAAACUGCCCGAUGGAGGGGGAUAACUACUGGAAACGGUAGCUAAUACCGCAUAACGUCGCGAGACCAAAGUGGGGGACCUUUGGGCCUCACACCCUCGGAUGUGCCAAGAUGGGAUUAGCUAGUAGGUGGGGUAAUGGCUCACCUAGGCGACGAUCCCUAGCUGGUCUGAGAGGAUGACCAGCCACACUGGAACUGAGACACGGUCCAGACUCCUACGGGAGGCAGCAGUGGGGAAUAUUGCACAAUGGGCGCAAGCCUGAUGCAGCCAUGCCGCGUGUAUGAAGAAGGCCUUCGGGUUGUAAAGUACUUUCAGCGGGGAGGAAGGCGGUGAGGUUAAUAACCUUGCCGAUUGACGUUACCCGCAGAAGAAGCACCGGCUAACUCCGUGCCAGCCGCCGCCGUAA
This 506-nucleotide ribosomal RNA is filed under the name uncultured bacterium. RNAcentral's name for it is "partial 16S ribosomal RNA". It matches the Rfam family "Bacterial small subunit ribosomal RNA", at positions 30 to 523 of the family's 1533-position model. The record is from RNAcentral.